CUCAUAUUAAAAGAUAUAAAAUUUUAAUCAAUAACGAGAGUGACGGGCGAUGUGUACACACUUCAGAGCCAAUAUCAGUUAAAUUAAAUAAUUUAAAUUACUAUCAAAUCCACCUUCAUUAAAAUAUUACAAAAUUAAAUCCAUAAUAAAAAAAAAUUAUUGUAACCCAUCAUACACUUAACUAUAAGCUGCACCUUGACCUGAAAUAAAUUUUAAUAAAAAAAACAAGAAAAUUUUUUCUCCAAAAAGAUUUUCUGAUAACGGAGAUAUACAAACAAAUAAAUUAAGUAAAGUAAAUCGUGUACUAUCAAUCAUGAGAUAGGUUCCUCUGAAUGGAAUGAAAUACCGCCAAAUUCUUUGGGUUUAAAGACCUUAACUAAUAAUACCCAGGUAAAACAAAUUUACAUUUAAAAUAAUA
This 418-nucleotide ribosomal RNA is filed under the name Locusta migratoria (migratory locust). Its description in RNAcentral is "partial 12S rRNA". Lineage: Eukaryota; Metazoa; Arthropoda; Insecta; Orthoptera; Acrididae. The record is from RNAcentral.